Papaver somniferum (opium poppy) is the source of this 452-nucleotide long non-coding RNA. RefSeq lists it as uncharacterized. The record is from RefSeq and is a predicted model, not a curated record. Lineage: Eukaryota; Viridiplantae; Streptophyta; Magnoliopsida; Ranunculales; Papaveraceae. The transcript has 5 exons.
GUUCUAAAACAUAUCAUCUUAUGUCACGGCGUUGGUUUGCCCAUGCUUCUCCUACUCUUUUCAAUGCAAGGACACCAAGGCCUCAAUUGAGUAGAGGCUUCCAUGUGUGCAUGAUAGAGGACAAUAUUGAAGGAAUAUACGACACUUUGAAGGAGUGUGCUGUUAUUAGUAAAUCUGCUGGAGGAAUUGGAGUUUCUGUACACAACAUCGAUGCCACUAGUCUUAGCUUUGAAGGAUCUUUCUCUGGAUGGAACACUGGCUCCUGAAAUUUGUAAUCUUUUGUACACGAAGUUGAUAUAGUGUCACUGGGUAGGAGAAAGUUCAGCACAGAUUUUCAGACUGCUAAAGGCGUUGAUGUUCUUUGGAUUUAUAGUGACGCAUUGAUUGAUGAAUGGAGAAUACACAAGAAGCAAGUUAUGGCUUCAUGACCUUGCUGGAAGUGAGAGAUUAGC